Non-coding RNA from Musca domestica (house fly), 46 nucleotides. Lineage: Eukaryota; Metazoa; Arthropoda; Insecta; Diptera; Muscidae. The record is from Rfam.
AACUAGGCCUCUUUGGAGGCCACCCGUUUUCAUAUUCAAGACAUGU